ACUCCUACGGGAGGCAGCAGUGGGGAAUUUUGGACAAUGGGCGCAAGCCUGAUCCAGCCAUGCCGCGUGCGGGAAGAAGGCCUUCGGGUUGUAAACCGCUUUUGUCAGGGAAGAAAAGGUUCUGGCUAAUACCUGGGACUCAUGACGGUACCUGAAGAAUAAGCACCGGCUAACUACGUGCCAGCAGCCGCGGUAAUACGUAGGGUGCAAGCGUUAAUCGGAAUUACUGGGCGUAAAGCGUGCGCAGGCGGUUAUGCAAGACAGAGGUGAAAUCCCCGGGCUCAACCUGGGAACUGCCUUUGUGACUGCAUGGCUAGAGUACGGUAGAGGGGGGAUGGAAUUCCGCGUGUAGCAGUGAAAUGCGUAGAUAUGCGGAGGAACACCGAUGGCGAAGGCAAUCCCCUGGACCUGUACUGACGCUCAUGCACGAAAGCGUGGGGAGCAAACAGGAUUAGAUACCCUGGUAGGCUCU
This 472-nucleotide ribosomal RNA is filed under the name uncultured bacterium. Its description in RNAcentral is "bacterial SSU rRNA". It matches the Rfam family "Bacterial small subunit ribosomal RNA", at positions 335 to 798 of the family's 1533-position model. The record is from RNAcentral.